RNAcentral lists this ribosomal RNA (445 nucleotides) under uncultured bacterium. RNAcentral describes it as "bacterial SSU rRNA". It matches the Rfam family "Bacterial small subunit ribosomal RNA", at positions 338 to 795 of the family's 1533-position model. The record is from RNAcentral.
CCUACGGGUUGCAGCAGUGGGGAAUAUUGCACAAUGGGCGGAAGCCUGAUGCAGCGACGCCGCGUGAGGGAUGACGGCCUUCGGGUUGUAAACCUCUUUCAGUACGGAAGAAGCGAAAGUGACGGUACGUGCAGAAGAAGCGCCGGCUAACUACGUGCCAGCAGCCGCGGUAAUACGUAGGGCGCAAGCGUUGUCCGGAAUUAUUGGGCGUUAAGAGCUCGUAGGCGGUUUGUCGCGUCUGCUGUGAAAGCCCGGGGCUUAACCCCGGGUGUGCAGUGGGUACGGGCAGACUUGAGUGCAGUAGGGGAGACUGGAAUUCCUGGUGUAGCGGUGAAAUGCGCAGAUAUCAGGAGGAACACCGAUGGCGAAGGCAGGUCUCUGGGCUGUUACUGACGCUCAGGUGCGAAAGCGUGGGGAGCAAACAGGAUUAGAUACCCGUGUAGUC